This 1566-nucleotide ribosomal RNA is filed under the name Triticum aestivum (bread wheat). Its description in RNAcentral is "partial small subunit ribosomal RNA". Lineage: Eukaryota; Viridiplantae; Streptophyta; Magnoliopsida; Poales; Poaceae. The record is from RNAcentral.
AUGCCUAGACGGACAGAAGAUGCUGAACCAGCUCAACCAAAGGAAUGCUUGGAGUUUGAUGAUAAUGAAGAGGAGGAGGUAGAAGAGGAAGAAAUUGAGUAUGAAGAAAUUGAGGAGGAGGUAGAGGAGGAGGUGGAGGAGGACGAGGAUAUUUCAGAGGAAGUAGAGGAGGUAGAGGAGGAGGAAGACCCUGAAGAAAGAGAAGUUCUUGAUGAAACUGAUGCUAGUCAUGACAGUGACAGUAAAUCGGAAGGUGUUCCUCUUCCUCAGCAGGAUGGUACCAAAGAUGGGAGCGAUAAAGAGAAGCAUGCCGAACUUCUUGCUCUUCCUCCUCAUGGAUCUGAAGUAUAUUUUGGGGGCAUCUCCAGCGAUGCAUCUUCUGACGAUCUCAAGAAACUAUGUGAGCUAGUUGGCGAAGUUGUGGAAGUUAGAAUAAUGCUGAGCAACAAGGAUAGCAGGGGAUAUGCUUUUGUUACUUUCAGAACUAAUGACCUGGCUUUGAAGGCCAUCGAGAAAUUGAACAAGGCAACUUUCAAGGGAAAGAAGCUAAGAGUUUCUUCCUCCCAGGCUAAGAACAAGCUAUUUGUUGGAAAUAUACCUCACAGUUGGUCAUUUGAUGAUUUUAAAAAAGCAGUGGAAGAAGUUGGUCCUGGAGUAUUAAAAGUUGAUCUGAUUAAGGAUCCACGUACAGAUCGCAAUCGGGGUUAUGGUUUCGUUGAAUACUAUAAUAAUGCAUGCGCUGAGUAUUCAAGGCAGAAGAUGACUGCACCAAAUUUCAAAUUAGAUACAAAUGCUCCUACUGUCAGCUGGGCAGAUCCCAAGAAUGGCGAUUCUGCCUCUACAGGCUCUACUUCACAGGUCAAAUCUGUAUAUGUCAAAAACCUGCCCAAGAAUGUUACUCAAGGACAGCUGAAAAAGCUGUUUGAGCGCCAUGGUGAAAUCAUAAAAAUUGUUCUCCCCCCUUCAAAAGAUGGUCAUGAUAAUAGGUAUGGUUUUGUUCACUUUAAAGACCGCCACAUGGCCAUGAAGGCUGUGAAGAGCACAGAGAAAUAUGAGCUUGACGGUCAGCUCCUGGACUGCUCACUCGCAAAACCUCCUGCUGAUAAAAAAGACGAUGCAGUAUCAUUGCCUACUGCCAAAGGAGGUCCGUUGCUCCAUGCUCCACUUGGAUAUGGUAUGCCGCGGCCAGAUCCUUAUGGUGCGCCUCCUGCUUAUGGUGCCCCUCCUGCUUAUGGUGCACCUCCUGCUUAUGGUGGACAGCCUCUGCUCUAUGCUCCAGGAGCUCCUCCAGGUGCAGCAAUGGUUCCAAUGCUUCUACCGGAUGGCCGUCUUGUAUAUGUUGUGCAACAGCCUGGAGCGCAGCAACAUUUCGCUUCCCCUCCGCCCCAGGUGCGGCAACAUCAGCAUUUCACAUCUCCUCCGCCACAGGCACGGCAAAUUGGACGUCAUGGUGGCAGCGGUGGCGGUGGAGGCAGUGGUGGAUCAAGUAGGUCCGGGUCGGGUACAAAGCGCCCGAGGGGAGAAGACAACAACAGCAGCAGUCGCAACCGACAACGCCGGUAUUGA